Molecule: ribosomal RNA, 265 nt
Filed under: uncultured bacterium
Lineage: Bacteria
Description: partial 16S ribosomal RNA
Source: RNAcentral
AGCCGAUGCUGAUUCCUCAGGUACCGUCACUGACUUCUUCCCUGAGAAAAGAGGUUUACAAUCCAAAGACCUUCUUCCCUCACGCGGCGUUGCUCCGUCAGGCUUUCACCCAUUGCGGAAAAUUCCCCACUGCUGCCUCCCGUAGGAAGCCGAAUUCUGCAGAUAUCCAUCACACUGGCGGCCGCUCGAGCAUGCAUCUAGAGGGCCCAAUUCGCCCUAUAGUGAGUCGUAUUACAAUUCACUGGCCGUCGUUUUUACAACGUCA